AGAGUUUGAUCAUGGCUCAGGAUGAACGCUGGCGGCGUGCCUAACACAUGCAAGUCGAGCGAUCUCUUCGGAGAGAGCGGCGGACGGGUGAGUAACGCGUGGGUAACCUGCCCUGUACACACGGAUAACAUACCGAAAGGUAUACUAAUACGGGAUAACAUAUAAAAGUCGCAUGGCUUUUGUAUCAAAGCUCCGGCGGUACAGGAUGGACCCGCGUCUGAUUAGCUAGUUGGUAAGGUAAUGGCUUACCAAGGCAACGAUCAGUAGCCGACCUGAGAGGGUGAUCGGCCACACUGGAACUGAGACACGGUCCAGACUCCUACGGGAGGCAGCAGUGGGGAAUAUUGCACAAUGGGCGAAAGCCUGAUGCAGCAACGCCGCGUGAGCGAUGAAGGCCUUCGGGUCGUAAAGCUCUGUCCUCAAGGAAGAUAAUGACGGUACUUGAGGAGGAAGCCCCGGCUAACUACGUGCCAGCCGCCGCGGUAAUAC
Molecule: ribosomal RNA, 489 nt
Filed under: uncultured bacterium
Lineage: Bacteria
Description: bacterial SSU rRNA
Rfam family: Bacterial small subunit ribosomal RNA
Source: RNAcentral